AGUGGAUGGGGAGCAACCUAGUUGUGCGUGUGUAAAGGUAGUGCCAAGAAAAGCGAUGAUCAUGUUGAAAAUCAAUUCCCGGUACCCGAAACCGACACAGGUGGGCAAGUAGAGAAUACUAAGGGGCGCGAGGUAACUCUCUCCAAGGAACUCGGCAAAAUGACCCCGUAACUUAGGGAGAAGGGGUGCCACCGAGAGGUGGUCGCAGUGAAGAGGCCCAGGCGACUGUUUAGCAAAAACAUAGGUCUCUGCAAACUCGAAAGAGGAGGUAUAGGGGCUGACGCCUGCCCAGUGCCGGAAGGUUAAAGAAGUUGGUCAGUUUUAGGAUGAAGCUAGCGACUGAAGCCCCGGUGAACGGCGGCCGUAACUAUAACGGUCCUAAGGUAGCGAAAUUCCUUGUCGGGUAAGUUCCGACCCGCACGAAAGGCGUAAGGAUCUGGGCGCUGUCUCGGAGAGAGGCUCGGCGAAAUAGGAUUGUCUGUGAAGAUACGGACUACCUGCAUUUGGACAGAAAGACCCUAUGAAGCUUUACUAUAGCUUGGAAUUGUGUUCGGGCUUCCUGUGCGCAGGAUAGGUGGGAGGCGUAGAAGGUAUUCUUGUGGGGAUACUGGAGCCAACGGUGAGAUACCACUCUCAGGAGGCUAGAAUUCUAACUUAAUUAAGGACAGUUUCAGGUGGGUAGUUUGACUGGGGCGGUCGCCUCCAAAAAGGUAACGGAGGCGUACAAAGGUUCCCUCAGACUGGUUGGAAAUCAGUCGAAGAGUGCAAAGGCAGAAGGGAGCUUGACUGCGAGAAGUACAGUCCGAGCAGGGUGGAAACACGGUCUUAGUGAUCCGACGGUGCUGUGUGGAAGGGCCGUCGCUCAACGGAUAAAAGUUACUCUAGGAUAACAGGCUGAUCUCCCCCAAGAGUUCACAUCGACGGGGAGGUUUGGCACCUCGAUGUCGGCUCAUCGCAACCUGGGGCGGAAGUACGUCCCAAGGGUUGGGCUGUUCGCCCAUUAAAGCGGUACGUGAGCUGGGUUCAGAACGUCGUGAGACAGUUCGGUCCAUAUCCGAUGUAGGCGUGAGAAUAUUGAGAGGAGCCUUCCUUAGUACGAGAGGACCGGGAAGGACGCACCGCUGGUGUACCUGUUAUGAUGCCAAUUGUAAACGCAGGGUAGCCAAGUGCGGAGGGGAUAACCGCUGAAAGCAUCUAAGUGGGAAGCCCACCUCAAGAUGAGUAUUCUGGUGUAAGGUCACGGGAAGACGACCCGUAAAUAGGCACGAGGUGGAAGUGCAGAGAUGUAUGAAGCCGAAGUGUACUAAUAGACCGUCGGCUUGAC
RNAcentral lists this ribosomal RNA (1324 nucleotides) under metagenome. RNAcentral's name for it is "bacterial LSU rRNA". It matches the Rfam family "Bacterial large subunit ribosomal RNA", at positions 1561 to 2925 of the family's 2925-position model. The record is from RNAcentral.